RNAcentral lists this ribosomal RNA (447 nucleotides) under uncultured bacterium. RNAcentral's name for it is "bacterial SSU rRNA". It matches the Rfam family "Bacterial small subunit ribosomal RNA", at positions 331 to 794 of the family's 1533-position model. The record is from RNAcentral.
CCAGACUCCUACGGGAGGCAGCAGUGGGGGAUAUUGCACAAUGGGGGGAACCCUGAUGCAGCGACGCCGCGUGGGUGAAGAAGUAUUUCGGUAUGUAAAGCCCUAUCGGCAGGGAAGAAAUUGGACGGUACCUGACUAAGAAGCCCCGGCUAACUACGUGCCAGCAGCCGCGGGAAUACGUAGGGGGCAAGCGUUAUCCGGAUUUACUGGGUGUAAAGGGAGCGUAGACGGCGGGGCAAGUCUGGAGUGAAAGGCCGGGGCCCAACCCCGGGACCGCUCUGGAAACUGCCCGGCUGGAGUGCGGGAGAGGUAAGCGGAAUUCCUAGUGUAGCGGUGAAAUGCGUAGAUAUUAGGAGGAACACCAGCGGCGAAGGCGGCUUACUGGACCGUGACUGACGUUGAGGCUCGAAAGCGUGGGGAGCAAACAGGAUUAGAUACCCCCGUAUC